CAAUAGCGUAUAUUUAAGUUGUUGCAGUUAAAAAGCUCGUAGUCGGAUUUUGGCUGAGAACGAUCGGUCCGCCGUUAGGUGUGCACUGAUUGGUCUCAGCUUCCUGGUGAGGAGGUGUGCUUCACGGCCACUUAGUCACCGUGGUUACUUUGAAAAAAUUAGAGUGUUCAAAGCGGGCUUACGCUUGAAUAUAUUAGCAUGGAAUAACACCAUAGGACUCCUGUCCUAUUUCGUUGGUCACGGGACGGGAGUAAUGAUUAAGAGGAACAGUUGGGGGCAUUCGUAUUUCAUUGUCAGAGGUGAAAUUCUUGGAUUCAUGAAAGACGAACUUCUGCGAAAGCAUUUGCCAAGGAUGUUUUCAUUGA
Molecule: ribosomal RNA, 365 nt
Filed under: uncultured eukaryote
Lineage: Eukaryota
Description: partial 18S ribosomal RNA
Rfam family: Eukaryotic small subunit ribosomal RNA
Source: RNAcentral